UGCCUCUUUAUUAAUGGGUAAUACAGCCGUAUGUUGCACAAUUCCAAAUAGUUAGUAGUAAAUAGUAAACAGUUACAAGUAGUAAAUAGUAAACAGUUACAAAUAGGUCGAGCUCCAAGUCUGGUUUCCAAGUUGAGCUCCACUGUCUCCAGAUAAAUAUCUAUGUGAGAAUAAUAAUUUUCUUUUCUCCCCCCAAAACAUGAGUGUAGAGUGUGAGCUUGGUGAUUAGACAUAUGUAUGAAAAGGAGUGUGUGUGUGUGGCAGGGUGGGGAGAAGAAAGACGAGCACAUUAUAUUUUAAACACUUUGAGGUGGUUCAGACCUGCAGAUCCGCACACCCCGGGACACCCUGCCCUCACCACCAAUGCGACUCCAUGCCCGGCUCUGCAGGGACCCCCACUGCUCGCACUCUUGAGAGUCUGCUCCGCCCCACAUUGCUCUGGAACACAGGACAAACGCCAGCUGGUCUGGUCCCAGUGGAAUGGGGGGACGGGCGGCAGGGGGCAAGAGGGCACCCAAGACCCAGCAGCUCACACCACACGGUCCUCCUGUUGCUUUUUUUUUCCCCUUCCUUUCCUCUCUAUAAACAAGUGAUUAAUGCCUUGCAAAAAGGCACAGACACACCUCCCUCGCAGCAAGCAAGCCCCUGCCAGGUUCCCCAGCCUUAAUUCUGCUGUUAACACUCCUCAGGCGGAGUGGUGAAGGGUAAAUCCACUCCUUCACGACGCAGACCUGCGGGCAAUGUGGUUUGUUUAAAGGCUCUGCUGAGCGAUUGACCUGCCUCCCGUUUGCUCCAAGGGAGGGAGUACACUCAAAUGAAAAAUGAAAAAAAAAUUUUUUCAAAAAGCGCAACUUGCCCUGAAGCAGCUUCCGGUGUGUAAACCGUCCUGGCACAGGACCCCCCAGAUGGACGUGGCUUUCGCAGAACCUUCCUUCCCUUCUCCCAGCAUCAGCGGACAAGGAGGGGAUGAGAUGGAUGAACGUUGUCAGCUUCACAGACUCCUUUUUCAUUUGUUUGCAAGAGGCAUCCUGACUGAUUUAAGAAAUGAAUCCCUGGGCCCGCCCUGUGGCCCAGUGGUUAAGUCCACGUGCUCCCCUUCAGCGGCCCGGGGUUUCACAGGUUCGAAUCCUGGGUGCGGACACGGCACCGCUCAUCAAGCCAGGCUGAGGCGGCGUCCCACAUAGCACUAGAAGGACCCACAACUAAAAAGACACAACUAUGUACUGGGGAGAUUUGGGAGAAAAAGGAAAAAUAAAAUCUUAAGAAAAAAGAAAAGAAAUGAAUCCCUGAUGAAGUUGUGCACACCCCUGGACUAGGCAUGGACCGACCACUGAGUGGACAGAGAACUUCUAUGUACAUUUAUUUUUAAAUGCUUUUCUUUUUAAUUUCCAUUUUAGUACAGUUCAAUAAUAAAUCAUAUGUCAAUUCAGCAGAAGAGGUAUAUGUUAGAAAAGUGAAAAUAUAUAGAUAUUGGGCAGUUUCUACUCAACUCUUAGUUUGUAAAGAUGUGACGUCCUCCAAAGAAAUUUGGGAGUAUUCCACCUGGAAGAAGAAGAAAUGAAAGAAGUGAAAUAUCACCGUUUUGCAAAGCCCUAAUGAAAUACUGGAUCCAUCCAGAAAAUGGUGUUCAGUGGCUGCUACCAAGCCAAGAUGAAAGAAAAGUGAUAUUGAGAUCGAAGUACAUGCUGUCGUCUAGAAGUGGGCUUGCGAAGAGAAUCAACAUUGAGUCUCGUCAAACAUCUAGCUAGUUUAUAGGAAAUACAGGGGACAGAGAAACGUAACAAGUGACACUUAGGGGAUGCAAAUGGUAAGAGCAAGAGUGAUUCCAUUCUUUCAAUGAAAAUUUCUUUUCAAGGAAAAAAAAGUGGGAGGUGGAUCAUGCACAGUGUAGACACCUUGUCCCCAUCCUGACUGGGACAAACCAACUGUAAUAAAAUAAGAAGAAUGGAGUCAAUCAGGGAACACUGAGUACUAAGUGGAUAUUUCGUAAGGUUAGGCAAUCACUGAGUUGGGGGUGCGUGUGAUAAGAGUAUUAUAGUUGUGUUUUUCAAAAAAAUUCAUUCUUCUGUUUUGGAGAUGCACAUGAAAGUGUCUACAAAUGAAAUAAUAUAGUGCCUGGAUUUGCAUUCAAACAAUCCACUGGGGGUAUUCAUGAAACAAGAUUGCCCAUGAGUUGAUCAUUGUUGAAUCAAAGUGGUGGCUAUAUGGAAGUUCAUUCUACCAUUCUCUCCAAUUUUUAAUGUUGGAAAUGAUUCAUUAAAAAAAAAAAAAUUGGAGGCACCAGCCCCAGUGGCCUAGUGGUUAAGUUUGGUACACUCUGCUUUGGCAGCCCACAUUUGGUUCCCAGGCAUGGACCUACACAGCUCUGUUAGCAGUCAUGCUGUGCCGGCGGCCUACGUACCAAAAAAUAGAGAAGAUUGGCAUAGUUGUUAGUUGAGGGUGAAUCUUCCUCAGCAAAAAAAUAAGUAAGUAAAUAAAUAAAAAUUGGAGACCACUAGCAUAGACCAUGACAAUCAGCAGACACGUCACCCCUACUCUGGACCAAAUGCUGCCAGGAAGCAAAUAGGCCGAGGAGGAAUGAAGAAAUCUAAUAUUUAUUGGGCACCAGCUCUGUGCCAAGCAUUAGAAUGAAGUCUCUCUCCUGAGUCAUCUUCUGUCUCCUGUUGAAAAACUGUGGGAGGUUGAUAUAAUUAGCCCCAUUUUACAGAUAAGGAAACUGAGGCCCAGAGGGCCAGAGUGACUUGCCAAGUGAUGCCAAGACAAGAAGAGCCACUGAUGAACUAAGACAUGCAGACGUGAGGAUUUUUUCUUUGUGACCUUGGACUAUUACUUUUCCUCUCUGGGCCUCAGUUUCCCUCGCUGUAAGACCACAUUCAUGAUUCAUAAAGGUAAGUUGUACUCUUCGGUCUUCUUCUGCCACUCCUCCAUCGCCUUCCCUCUCCUUCCUUUCUUCUGUCUUCCCAGGAAUGUGUCAGAGGCAGCCUGGUGUGGAGGAAAGAGAAAUUGAGUCCACGGUUCAAAUUCUGGUUCUGCUUUAUGCUCUUUGAGCGACCUUGGGCAAGUCACUUAACCUCUCUGAGCCUCUCCUUCCCCAGCAACAAAAUAGGAAGAAAAUAAUAACUACCUUUUAGUACUGCUGGUACGAUUCAGACCAUGGACAGACGGCGCGCAGCUCAGAGUCCAGGAUAAAGCAGGUGUCGAGUAAGGAUGGCUCUCUCGUACCUGCUUCCUCUCUCCUGCUUCCUCUGGUCAUCCCUGUGGCUUAGCACCACCUCCCCCAAGUCUUGGCUGAAACGUCACCUUCUCAGUGGGGCCUUCUCUGACCACCCUUUAAAACUAAACCCCACCAUCCCCUUGUCCACAACUCCCUUUCCUGAUUUAUUUUUUCCAUAUCACUCAUCACCAUCAAAAACAGACCUUUUUCUUUUUUUGAGGAAGAUUAGCCCUGAGCUAACUACUGCCAAUCCUCCUCUUUUUGCUGAGGAAGGCUGGCCCUGAGCUAACAUCCAUGCCCAUCUUCCUCUACUUUAUACGUAGGACGCCUACCACAGCAUGGUGUGCCAAGCGGUGCCAUGUCCAUACCCGGGAUCCGAACCGGUGAACCCCAGGCCGCCGAGAAGUGGAACGUGCAAGCUUAACUACUGCACCACCGGGCCGGUCCCCUAGAUCUUACCCGCUUAUUUUGUUCUGCAUCCUUCCCUCCCCCACUAGAACGUCCUUGGGGACAAUCAUUUUUAUGUGUUUGGUUUGCUGCUCUAUCCUGAGCUGAGACAUAUAGAAAGCCCUGGGUACACAUUUGUUCAAUGAAUGAGCGAAUGAAUGAAUGAAUGAAUAUUAGACCUGGUACUGGUGCCUUUAGCUAAUGGAAAGAACAGGGCAUAGGUCGUGCACAGAGUAGCUAGUCCAUAAAUGCUUUGGUUCUCAUUUUUCUGGAACACCAGAAUCUGCCAAGGUCACCCUGUUCGACUCUAAGCGACUCCCCAUCUACCUGUGGGUGUUCUGACGGUUUCCAGCUUUCUUAUUUCUGGCUAUCCCUUAAGCCAACCUUCAAGUGCCUGGCCCAGUAGCUCCAAGUUCUUUAAGCUGUAUUUCACCGAGGGCAGUGAGUGAUAGUGUCCUGGGGCCAUUUGCAACCUCCCUUCCCUGAGCACAGGUGCUUGAGGAAAUGUUUUGAUGAAAGGCAGGGAAGGCACCAGCUCCCUGGCUUAAUCUUUAUGAAGGGAUUACCCAAUGCUAAGGAGGGACUUGUCCAUGGAUCCUUGGGGCAAAGAGCUGCAGAGAUGUGGUGCUGAUGGAGCCUUUAUCUAGAUGGGAAAACUGAGUUUUUAGAUGGGCCAGAGCUGCCCAGCAUGUCACCCCAGAGGUGGAGUACAGGUAUGUUGGGAUCAGGGUACUGAUAAACACUUUCAGGAGAAACUUCACCUCUCUGAGCUAAAACAGCCCCAAGCCAGUCCUCACUCCCUCCUGGGCCCGUUGAGAAAUAUUCCUCAAAAUGUUGUUGAUAAUGGCUUUCCUCUCUGCCCUGGCCCCCGGCGGUAUCGGGUAUGGGCAGAUUGCGACAGCAUUCGAAGCUGGGCCUGUUUCCCAUGAGAAUCUUCCUCCGUCCCACAGAGACGGAGAGCCCAACUCAUUCCCUUUACACUUCAGGGGUCCUUACCCUGGCACCCUCCAAGGGACUCUUACAGGGCUGGGCGAGUCCGUGGAUAGAAUUUAGGGACCCGUGAACUUGGAUGGGGGAAAAAACAAUCACACUUUCGUUUUCACUAAACUCACAGUGAAAUUAGUAUUUCCUCCCGUUUUGAAGAGAAGUGACAACCCACAGGAGGACUGGCAGUGGCUGUGGCUUGGUCACCAACAGAAUCACAGGCAUCUUCGUAUCUCAUUAUAGGCGUGACCGAGGUCCCCAAAUGUUUCGCUCAUCCUGACUUCAAAAGACUUGCAGCAUUAUCAGAGAGUGAACCUCCGGCUCAGAGAGGGGCAACAUUGCCUCAUGUUCAUCACUGAUCCUUUUACAAUUUCCUUCCACUGCUGGCAGGUGAGAUGAGAGUUUCCUUUACAGUACCUAAAAAUUUCAUUUUCAACAAAUUUGGUGUUUUGAAAAAGUGAGUUUAUCAUGAAAAUAUAUGUUAAGGAAAUAAUUGGGAAGGUGAUACCAAGAUACAUAAAACAUGAAUGUGCUCUCAGUGCCCUCCCCCCACCCUCCCCAGUUUUACCAGUAAGGGAGCUGAGGCCAGAUACCUGCCCAGCGCCUGCUCAUUUUAAGGCCAAGCGCUGGGCUUCUCCCUGUGGCUGCUCUGGCAGCUGGUGGCCUGCAAUCUGGCCCCUCUCAGCCUCCUAGACCUCUGUGGGGCCGCGGGGGAGAAAGUCAGGGACUCCAAGUUCCCAGCAUGGGUGUUAAACAUGCCUUCUGAGUGUCCUGGCUCCAGGGUCCCCCGUCCUGAAGGGCCCAGCUGAGUGGGGCUUUCAUCAGCCUCUGAGAGGUGGCAACACGUUUCAGGGCAGGAUGCCGUCUGCCCACUGCCCCCACUUCUGCAGACCAGGCCGAGUGCAGAGGACUGGAAGCAAGAUUCCAGAGGCAUCUGGAUAUUAUCAGUCACUCCACUGUCUGGCCAGUGGGCUGGGGCGGGGCCGGUGGCAGGGGGCAGAAACUGGCUGGAGGGUGGAGUCAGGAAUCCCACAGAUUCCUGGGACCAGACCCAGCUCCUGGGUGGGGGAGGAGGGGACAGUGAUGAUCUGGCUGCAAACCCUGCAUGCUGCCCGGCCCUCAUUAGGUGGCGGCACCAAAGGGAGCUGAAAGUCAAUGAUGAUAUUUGUCUGGCAGAGGAAACCCGGAGGGAGGGAUUGGUGACCAGAGGGGGCGAGGCAGCCACACUGCUCUGCUGGGCAGCACUUGAGGACAGCAACAGGGAAGCGGGGGUGGGGGGCACGGCUGGCCCUCUGGUCCACUCGAAGAUUCCUGCUUCAAAACUAACCCUGAUGGCUUCCAGACAAGUCGGCACCAGGGGUCAUUUCUGGAGGCUGUAAGUGCUGUCAAUGGCAGCUGUAGAGACAGGUGUAAAUCCAUCUGCGCAUUCCUCCCCAAGCCCCUCCCGGCUUUCUGCACCUGAAGCAGGUUCCAUUUAUUACUGCAAGCCGGCUCAGGACGCCUGAGCACACACACACGGCCACAGAACAUGCAUGCUCCGGGUUCACGCUGGGCCUGCCCUGUGGGUCCAUUUUUUUUUUUUAAGCGCUUCUUUAAAGCAAACUCUAUCAGCUGUUUGCUAAGGCAAAGCAAACACAAGCCUUUGCAACAACAAAAAAAGAAAGAAAAAAGGAAAAGAAAUCCUUUUAUUUGCUACCAUUAAAAUGUCCUUUUAAAAUACUUUUCUUGGCAGACUGGGAGAUAAGGGAGGAGGCCGAGGGGGAGGGAAGAUGAUGUGCGAUUUAUUUGAACUAGUCGAGUGAUGAGUUGGGGAGGGGGGAACUUCACCUGACCCAGGCUUCUCUCUAGAAUCAGACCCUCCUCAUUUCUCACCAGCCUCCUGUGGUUGAACACAGAUCUGCGUUCUCAGGAGUUC
Molecule: long non-coding RNA, 6560 nt
Organism: Equus caballus (horse)
Lineage: Eukaryota; Metazoa; Chordata; Mammalia; Perissodactyla; Equidae
Source: Ensembl